RNAcentral lists this long non-coding RNA (2705 nucleotides) under Macaca fascicularis (crab-eating macaque). Its description in RNAcentral is "lncRNA (ENSMFAG00000056813.1)". The record is from RNAcentral. Lineage: Eukaryota; Metazoa; Chordata; Mammalia; Primates; Cercopithecidae.
CGGGGGGCGUCCUGGCGCUGCUUCUUACGACAGCAGGAAACUGGACUCGGGGCCCGCACGCAGUCCCGGCUCGAAGCGCCCCAUGCGCCCCGCGGGACCCGCAGGCAGGGCUGGCGGCUCCCUACGGCUGCUACCCUCGCGCCCUCUUCGCGCCUCCCUCCCUGCGGCCCGCCUCGCAGUGCACUCGCGCCGGCCUCGGCUCGCUGCAGCCGCCUCCGGGUGGGCGGAGGGAGCAGCGGCGCCUGGGCGGCGCCCCUACCGGGCUCGUGCCCCCACCGGCCUGCGGGAGACCAAGCUUUGGGGUUCCCGCAGAGGCCGGGAAGCGGCGGGCGGCCGUGGACCAAGGCUGGGACGGCAGCGCCACCCUCUGGGCCAGGGACCCCGGGACGUCUAAGGCUCUGGGAACACCUUCUUGCCUUCCUGUAAGAUUUGUCAGCCUGACUAGUGAAAGUUGCCCCACCUUGAUUCUAGGCCAGUGUUGGAGCAGUAAUUAAUGAAGUUGUAUUGCAAUAAUGCAGAUUUACAGAGUGACUGGCAGAUUCAGCUUCAGAAGAGUUGUCUUGGGUUGUUUUUACCGUAGACACAAAUGCAGGCUCCUGAUGUUUGGUAUGAUCAAUAUCAAACUGCCUGACAAACAUCAAAAACGGUGGACUUGUCUCUAAGGACGAAUGCUCAGGGGAGGGGCAGUAUUAAUUAAGCAACCGUGGCUUUGGCUUGAAGGGUAGUCUGUAGUGCAGAGGAUACAGUUAGUUUUUACAGUUGACCCCUAGUAUACAGAAGAACCACGUACAUCCAAGGUUUCUGGACAGGGGCUAAGACAAUAGUCGUUUGUUCACUUAUUUUGGGGGAUUUCGAACCAAACAUACUCUGUACCUGCCUUUUUACUAUAUAUCCCCCGUCGGUGUGGUGGGAGACUAAGCCUAUGUCCCACAGAGGAAAUGAAUGGAGACUUUACUAGUUUCAGACCGAGUCAACAGUCAACACGAAAAUGUAAGAGGAAAAAAAAAACUGACCCCGGAAAUUAAUUGUCUGGGUUAGCCAUCCUGACAUAUCCUUAUGUAUUGCAAAGACAUGCUGUCUCAGUUAAUUAAUCUCAAAAACAGAAGAACUAAUUCUUGCCCAGAAAUCUCUCAGAGUUGCUGUGAAGAUCAAGCAAGAUUAUGUAUGGGGACAGCACCCUAAAUUGUAAAGUGCUUUGCCAAGGUCAGAUGUCAUUAUUGGAGUGACUAAAUAAAUUGGGCCAUUACGAAUAUCACCCUUUGUCUCGUCUUGUGAAGAGACAAAGUAAACAGAUUGCUGUUAGCAGAGAGUUAAAUAAGGUUGUCAUAGGAUUUGAAAUGAAAGUAAUGAUACACUUUUCCCUUAAGAUAGCCUUCUACCCAUCGCCUGUCACCCAGUCUAGAACUGUGAUUUCUUAAACCCUAGCUCCGUCUAGUGGUUCUUUGUUCUAUUACAAAUGAGAUAACACAGUGGUUGAAGAGAACAUGACUCUCAAAUGCAUUUGGUGCUGAGCUGAGCCAGUUUGGUGCCUAUCGACUUCAUUUAAAUAAGUCCAUUUAAAUAAGGUUUUUAAAGUUGUGUUAUUGCACAAACAUGCCAAGGGAAGAUUUUUCAUGACAAUAUUAAAAACCCAUCAAGAAACUUCAUAAUCCUGCUUGUGAAAGGAAGAUAAAGAAAAUAAUGCAGAGGGGAAAACUAUCAUAGAGUUAAUAAAAUUUGUAAGGUUUUAAUGAGCUCUCAUGUUCUAUGGCUUAGAUAAAAAAGGAAACAGAUGAUAUUAGUUUGAGAUGAGAGAUGUUAAAGCCUUGGUGGGCUACCUGAUAAGAAAAAGAAAUGAGAUGUCUUCCAUUUAAAAUGUACUACUGAAAUGGAUCUCAACAUGGACUGUGCGUGCGUGCGUGUGUGUGUGCGUGCAUGUGUGUGCGCGUGCGUGUGUGUGUGUGUAUUGGCACCUUUUUGAAUACUACAAUUUUUGGUGGCACACUUGAAGAAAUUAAAAGACCUAAAACAAAGUAGUGCUACUACAAAGUGGUCCUUUUUUUAAAGUUUUAAACCUCCAGAUUGUGUGCCAUAACACGAUCACAUUAUUUCAUAUCUUUUUGCUUAAAUAAGACUGGAUGCUUAUAAAAGCACUGUUAUACUGUGUUAUGGCACUUUAAGUACUUGCUUAGAAAUGAUCCUUUCUUCAUUGUGUGCUUCGUAAGAGUGUUUCUGGUCAGUCACCUUUCCUUUCAAGGUCUUCCUUAUUCAAACUAACUAAGGUGGCUUUUAGGUCAAGAUCACAGUCAUUACCUGGGGAUGCAAGAGGAAGAUAAUUACUACGUGAACAGCCAAUGAACUGUUUUUGCCAUUUAAAAAAAAAAAAAAAGCUGGAAGUGUUCAUGAUUUUUAAAUAAAAUAAAUAUUUAAGAGUUAAAUUGUUCAAAAGUCAGCAAUCUUUCAUCACAAUGUGAGUGUCUCACAGUGUCUGUGGAGGUACAUCCAAUUUUUUCCCCCAUUCCCUUGGUUCACUCACAACACAUCUGACUGUAGGAAUAGAAUCACAUUCUCCCCUGUCCACAGCCACAUUCUCAAUAUUCCAGUAAACACUCCCUCUUUCUUGGUGCUAGUUGACAGGUUACUGUGCUUCUUACCUUUUACUUGCCACCUUCUGUUCCCUCCUUAACAUUGAGUUCCAGCACCUGCUCAACUUAAAAGUUCUGUCU